RNAcentral lists this ribosomal RNA (506 nucleotides) under uncultured bacterium. RNAcentral describes it as "partial 16S ribosomal RNA". It matches the Rfam family "Bacterial small subunit ribosomal RNA", at positions 29 to 523 of the family's 1533-position model. The record is from RNAcentral.
AGUGAACGCUGGCGGUAGGCCUAACACAUGCAAGUCGAACGGCAGCACAGGAGAGCUUGCUCUCUGGGUGGCGAGUGGCGGACGGGUGAGGAAUACAUCGGAAUCUACUCUGUCGUGGGGGAUAACGUAGGGAAACUUACGCUAAUACCGCAUACGACCUACGGGUGAAAGCAGGGGACCUUCGGGCCUUGCGCGAUUGAAUGAGCCGAUGUCGGAUUAGCUAGUUGGCAGGGUAAAGGCCCACCGAGGCGACGAUCCGUAGCUGGUCUGAGAGGAGGAUCAGCCACACUGGAACUGAGACACGGUCCAGACUCCUACGGGAGGCAGCAGUGGGGAAUAUUGGACAAUGGGCGCAAGCCUGAUCCAGCCAUACCGCGUGGGUGAAGAAGGCCUUCGGGUUGUAAAGCCCUUUUGUUGGGAAAGAAAUCCAUCUGGUUAAUACCCGGAUGGGAUGACGGUACCCAAAGAAUAAGCACCGGCUAACUUCGUGCCAGCAGCCGCCGCCG